GCUCCCGUGGUCUAACCUGGAUAUGACGCUAGCCCGCGAAGCUGGUAAUCUGGGUUCAAAUCCCAGCGGGAGCG
Molecule: transfer RNA, 74 nt
Filed under: Candidatus Iainarchaeum sp.
Lineage: Archaea; Nanobdellati; Candidatus Iainarchaeota; Candidatus Iainarchaeia; Candidatus Iainarchaeales; Candidatus Iainarchaeaceae
Description: tRNA-Arg
Rfam family: tRNA
About the family: Transfer RNA (tRNA) molecules are approximately 80 nucleotides in length. Their secondary structure includes four short double-helical elements and three loops (D, anti-codon, and T loops). Further hydrogen bonds mediate the characteristic L-shaped molecular structure. tRNAs have two regions of fundamental functional importance: the anti-codon, which is responsible for specific mRNA codon recognition, and the 3' end, to which the tRNAs corresponding amino acid is attached (by aminoacyl-tRNA synthetases). tRNAs cope with the degeneracy of the genetic code in two manners: having more than one tRNA (with a specific anti-codon) for a particular amino acid; and 'wobble' base-pairing, i.e. permitting non-standard base-pairing at the 3rd anti-codon position.
Source: RNAcentral